ACAGGGUUCAAGUAGCAUUGGUUAUUGUUCAGAUCUGAAGGGGGAAGGUUUCUUUGCUCCCUUAUUUGGAUUGAAAACAAGCACAUAAUGUUGGGUGUGAAUCGGUUUCCGACAUCGCGUUUAUUCAGGUGGAUGGCCUUGCGCCACUCUUCCAGCAACCUUUUUGUUGGAGGUAUCCCAUCCCUUUUUCUCUCUUUAUGUGUUUAACUAUAGUAUUGGUUUUAAAAAGCACCUCUGAGGCGCGAUGUGACAAGUUAUG
This is a long non-coding RNA of Helianthus annuus (common sunflower), 259 nucleotides long. RefSeq lists it as uncharacterized. The transcript has 3 exons. The record is from RefSeq and is a predicted model, not a curated record. NCBI's taxonomy places the organism in Eukaryota, Viridiplantae, Streptophyta, Magnoliopsida, Asterales, Asteraceae.